This is a long non-coding RNA of Pseudopipra pipra, 2669 nucleotides long. RefSeq lists it as uncharacterized. NCBI's taxonomy places the organism in Eukaryota, Metazoa, Chordata, Aves, Passeriformes, Pipridae. The record is from RefSeq and is a predicted model, not a curated record. The transcript has 2 exons.
UAAUUCCCUAUAUUAUUAGCUUGUCUCAUUUUAUUAAAUCUCCUUUAAGGCUUUUCAGAAGAAGCACGUAAUUCCCAACAUAUAAUUUUUCCCAGAUGAGAUAUGAUGCAGAAGUGGGCUGCUCUGUCACUGGGGACCAGGGGGGUGGCUUUAUUUGUUUCCUUCCCCCACUCCCUGCUUCUUUAGCAACACUUUUCAUGUCUCUUGAUUACUUUUAGCUUUUGGGAUUUGAUUAACAGAGAAUUUGAAAAGCCUGAGACGUGUCUCAAAUCCCCAGCUCCUUGAGUCAUUCAGACAAGGGGUGGCAAGAGCUCCCUCAGAGACGCCAUCCCUGUGUCCAGCACGAUGCAGCUCCGAGCCAGGAGCACCCUGGAAAUCCCCUGCUCCCAGUUUCCAUCCUCCAUGCCAUCCCCUUGCCCACAGUUCACUUGGAUGCAGCAGCAUCCUGCCAGCAUCCUGCAUGGACAAAGGUGUCUGCGUGUCCUGGAUGUGUUCCCAAACUCUGGCACUUUCUGCUCCUUUCCAAAGAGCAGCAGCUUCCCUGGGAUUAGAGAGAAAUGUCACCUGUAACUGGAGAUGGGCAGAAACUGGGCUUGGAAUAUAAGGCACAGGGGAGAGGGAGGCUCAGUGACCCCAGCGGACACAUUGCUGGAUUUCAGGAAGGUUCCCAUGGAAAUAGUGAUGGCUGCCAGGGUUGUAGGACAAAAACCAAAGCCCAAGAGGAGGCAGGGAGCCAGGCAGGCAUCACUGGGCUGGAACUGGCAGAGGGAUGGGUAGUGGUGGGGAGGGCUUGGAGCCUGGAGGUGUUUUCUGUCCAGGUCCCACGUCUGCUCCUGCUGCUCCAUCUGUGGGUCCAGAGGGGCUGCGGGCACAGGGGUGGAGGUGUUGGGGGGAUUGGGCUGGGCGAGGGUUGAGCUGGUGCCCAAAUAGAGGACCCUCGAGGCUCCCAGCCCUGGUGCAGCAGCACAGAACCGCAGGCAGAGCCUGGCCUCGACAUCUUCCCGGGGCUCUGGCAGCCCUGCAACCUCCUGCGACCCUGAUUGGGAAAGGAGCCUCGCUCCGUAAACAGCUCCUCUCCGAAGACAACGCAACAUGGAAAAAGCAGCACAUUCCUACCAUUUUUUCCUUUGAAAUAGGAUCCAAGGAGGAUGCAGCACAGUGUGUCCAGCUCACCGGGCUGUCCCAGGGCCGCUGUUGAGCGUGAAGAUUAAGGAAAACAGCCUGGUAACUUGUCCUCUGGCUCAUGGCGGGAGCUCCAAAUAUCCCAAACUUCAAUGGAAGCGUUAUCUGUGGCGUCAGCACACAACCUCAUGUGAAGCAAUUCCCAAGGCUGCAAACAACCCGCCUGCCAACCUCCAGUGGGCCCAGCAAGCCCCACACUGUAUUUUGAAGGCAUGAAGUUAUGAAAAUAGCUCCAUGACCCCCUUUCCAGAGACCUCAUUUGGUCCUCGAUGCUUCUGCAAGAGCUGGAGGGAUGCACCUGCAUGUGCCAGCAGAGAGCUGAGGCUGCAACCGGCUGGUCCUGGGGGUCCCACAGUGCAGGUCUCUCCUUUGGAAGCAGCAGGACUCAUAUCUGACCUGGAGGCCCCAAGGUCCAUCCCUGCAUCAAUGCAGAAUAUGCCCCAGCUGCAGCUGGGAAGUGGGGAAACAGUUGUGACAAUACCAAUGCUUCAUGCUCAGCCUGAAGGUUUCAUCCCCUCCCUCUGGAAUCUCAAAUUCUUAGAAAUAUUAGGUAAUUGGAAUCACAAUUUUUUCCCUAUAACCAGCAUAAACGAUGGUCUGUGUUUCCCUCCUUGCAGCCCUGGGGACCAGCACGGCACCACCCAGGACUGGUCCUGGCCAGGGCCAUUCCCUGCCCAAGGGAGAAAGGUGGGCUUGGGCCCCAUGAUAUGGGCUAGAACAUCACCUUCCAGCUCCUCAGAUUGCUUUAGGGAAGAGAGCAGAUGCCUCUAAAAUAUCAGACUCCAGCUUUAUGGCAGCCAGAACCAGUUCUACAAAGGCAGCGACACAUUAAUCCGUGCUGGCUGCUGCAGGAAGAGCUACUAAAAGCAGGGAUGCAUCUGGCAUAACCCCAGAAAAACACUUGUGCAAUGCAAAGCCAACACAGAACAGCUGGGAAGUGGGAAGGGUUGGAAAUGGCAGAUCAAUGGGAAAGGAGUCCGUGAAGCUGGUCCCGGUGCAGCACCAAACCCCUGUGCUUUUGGGAUGCUGUGGGCACAGGAUGGGAAGCAGCUCCAUCACUGGGAUUUAUGGUGACAGACACACAUUUUAAGAGGCUGAUGCUGGCUGGGGAGGGGAAUGGUACAACUGGGGUCCCCCCUUGGCCUUGGAGUGGGGACAGGAAAGGGCGCACAAGGUCCCCAGACGGGGAAUGAGACACCACAAAUACGGCCCUCGCUGUCUUCUCAUGAAGGAUAAUUCUUCCCGACCCAGCACGUGUCUCUCUGGUAAAUACUGAUUACACUUAUCAACAAAUCCAAGUUUAUUGACAUCAGAGACUUUGAGCCAGGACUGGCAACUCUGACAUAAAUUGUCUGAAUAAUGCAAUGUAUCCUCUCCUCACUGGUUGCUAUGGGUACUGGGCUGGUUUAGCCUCUGUCUAUAAACAUUAACUGUGAAGGGGAUGUGGAAACUUAUCUAAAAAUAAAAUACUAUGCCCAAAUCUUUAA